This 1091-nucleotide long non-coding RNA is filed under the name Marmota monax (woodchuck). The record is from RNAcentral. Lineage: Eukaryota; Metazoa; Chordata; Mammalia; Rodentia; Sciuridae.
GAUAAGCUAUUUUUAAACUAAUUAAUAUAUUCCAUUUUGAAAUUAAAAUGCUUAUACUUGAGUAUCAUUCUCUAAAGAGAAAUUGGUUUCUAAGAAACUAAAAUUGAUAAAUUGGCAGUUACCUGGUAAGGGUUUUCAAAUGUCCUAGUAAGUUACAAUAUAAAAAACAAAUAAGAAAAAAAAGUGGUGAAUUUUUAUCCCAUAUGCAAAAUCUUCUCUACUGAGGAAGCUCACAUAGACACCCAAUGCCUUACACAUAUCAAAAUUCCAGCUACCCGAAGGAAAGUGGAUGUUCAGCAUAAGCCAUGUUGUUUAUUUAUACAAACAAUUUACACAUAGUUUGUCAGUCAGGGAAUAGUGGGAACUCUCAAAAUCUUAAGUUCCUGGAUGCCAGUUAAGGGCCAAACUUGAGCAUAAGGCUUUCUAAGGACAGCAGACUCAGGCCUGCUAAGUUAAUCCUUUAUGCACAGUUUGUAUUUGGAUCAUGAAUUUUCAAUUAAAUUAUCCUCCACUUAUAUGUGUGAAUUAUUGCUUAAGCAAGGGAAAUUAAAUUGGAAUGCUUUGAAAAUUCAAUUUUAAAUUGAGAAUAUAGGGAUCAUAAUUUUUUUGUCUUACCUUUUAUAUAUGAAUACCUUAUCUAGUUUGAGAAUAGAGAAAUCCCAAGAGUGGUUCCUAGAAAAAUAUAAUUAAAUGGCUAAAAUAUAGAGCAUAUGUAAUAAAAUGCCUCUAUUUAUCUGUUAGGUCUGAUUCCAACUAAAUAUAGCCAUAAGAGAAUGUCUUCUUUACAGCAUAUUUUAAAAUAUUUUUAGUUAUAGAUGGAUGCAAUAUCUUUAUUUUGUUUAUUCAUUUUUAUGUGGUGCUGAGGAUCGAACCCAGCGCCUCACAUGUACGAGGCAAGCGCUCUGCCACUGAGCCACAACCCCAGCCCCAUACAGCAUAUUUUUAGCUUUCAAAGAAUAGACAUUUCCUUUUCAUUUGUAAAAUUAAUCAUUCAAAUUAUUAACUUUAUUGAGUUCAGUUGAAAUCUGUUCAUGGAGAUGACCCCAAAUAAGUACACAGAAAAAUUCAUAUUUGAGGGACAUACCUAUACU